RNAcentral lists this long non-coding RNA (915 nucleotides) under Olea europaea subsp. europaea. Lineage: Eukaryota; Viridiplantae; Streptophyta; Magnoliopsida; Lamiales; Oleaceae. The record is from RNAcentral.
CAAUAAAUGUACACAAAAUUGCAGAAAUAUGAACUUAAAUUCUCUUCACGUCUAGAGUAUCAACUGCAGAAAUAUUCAAGAUAAACAACCGCAGCAACGAUGAACAUACGGUAAACUUGUAACUUCAACUAUAACAUACGUAUGAAGGAACACAAAAAUGAAGAAAUAUCAAAUUGACAGAAACGCUCUUCUCAAUUAGAGUUGUUUCAUAUAUCUAACACGACAACGAACAAACUAAUUUCCACAAACAUGGUUGAACUGUAGUAUAAAAUCCAGCCAUUUAAUUUACAAACCAAAACACUAAACCCAUUUAAUGUUUGGCGAAAUAUGCAACCAUUUAAUUUCUGGCGACAUGCAAUCCAGCAAAAAAUCCACCCGAUCAAUAUCUGUCAACAGGCAAAAGUUUAAAACUGCAUAAACCCUAAAAUCCAAACCCAAAUUGAACAAAACUCAAAACCGAUUUCAAAUGCAUUUUAAAACAAACCAGAUUAAAGUUAAAGACACCGCUGUCGAAUAUAUAAACUAGUCGAUCCACUUGUUGUCGAUAGGUCUCCACUCAAUUCGCUUACACCGUCAACAAACUAAGUUUUUGGAUGAGAGAGGACGGCUCUUGAUUUUGAGAUACAGCACCAAUUGUUUAUCUUGUAAAUGAGAUAAGGCAUGGGCUAUUUUGAAAAUAUAUUUUCUUCUUCAAAAGUCACAAGAAAUUGCACAUCAAAAUAUGCCACCUCCGCAUGGACAUGAUUAUAUAUACCCUGACAUACACCAAGCAUUAUCCAAAAUAAUAUUGGGUAUUUACUCUUCGAUUGUGCUAUAUAUGUACAUAAUGGUUUAUAUAAAUAAUAUGGCGACAAAUGUUUAGAUCAGAAUUUCUUCAACUAAUUUUUUUUUUUUUUUUUAAAUCUUCUCCAUUCA